UACAGAGGUCCCGAGCGUUGUUCGGAUUCAUUGGGCGUAAAGGGUGCGUAGGCGGCGGGGAAAGUCUGAUGUGAAAUCCUGGGGCUCAACCCUGGAACUGCAUUGGAUACUUCCUCGCUAGAGUACUGGAGAGGAAACUGGAAUUUACGGUGCAGCAGUGAAAUGCGUAGAGAUCGUAAGGAAGACCAGUGGCGAAGGCGAGUUUCUGGACAGUUACUGACGCUGAGGCACGAAGGCCAGGGGAGCAAACGGG
RNAcentral lists this ribosomal RNA (253 nucleotides) under uncultured bacterium. RNAcentral describes it as "partial 16S ribosomal RNA". It matches the Rfam family "Bacterial small subunit ribosomal RNA", at positions 524 to 776 of the family's 1533-position model. The record is from RNAcentral.